GGGAGUUCUGUGAUUGGAGAGGAGAGGAGACAGGGAUGAGGCAGAGCAUGGGAUGGGGCUAUCAACAGAUGUAGAUUAUUCCUUGCACAAGAGAUGAUGAUGAGCUGUGAAUGAGUUCUGAGAGAUGGCUGGUGUUGUUGUUGCUCCCUCCCCUGCACUGCCUCUUCCCUGGCUCCCCUGCACACCUCUCUCUCUCUCUCUCUCUCUCUGUG
This 212-nucleotide microRNA precursor is filed under the name Oryza sativa Japonica Group (Japanese rice). RNAcentral's name for it is "osa-MIR408". The stretch from base 12 to 193 matches the Rfam family "MIR408 microRNA precursor family". The record is from RNAcentral. Lineage: Eukaryota; Viridiplantae; Streptophyta; Magnoliopsida; Poales; Poaceae.